AACUUUACGGAGGGAAAACACAAUGACUGAGUGGCGGACGGGUGAGUAACGCGUAGGGAACCUGGCCCUUACAGGGGGAUAACAGAUGGAAACAACUGCUAAUACCGCAUAAGCGCCCAGCCUCGCAUGAGGCAGAGUGAAAAACUAAGGUGGUAAGGGAUGGCCCUGCGUCCGAUUAGCUAGUUGGUAUGGUAACGGCAUACCAAGGCGACGAUCGGUAGCCGGCCUGAGAGGGUGGACGGCCACAUUGGGACUGAGACACGGCCCAAACUCCUACGGGAGGCAGCAGUGGGGGAUAUUGCACAAUGGGGGAAACCCUGAUGCAGCGACACCGCGUGGGUGAAGAAGCGCUUCGGCGUGUAAAGCCCUAUCAGUGGGGAAGAAAAAGGACGGUACCCAAAGAAGAAGCACCGGCUAAAUACGUGCCAGCAGCCGCGGUAAUACGUAUGGUGCAAGCGUUAUCCGGAAUGACUGGGUGUAAAGGGAGCGUAGACGGUUGUACAAGUCUGAUGUGAAAGCCCACGGCUCAACUGUGGGAGUGCAUUGGAAACUGUAGAACUAGAGUAUCGGAGAGGCAAGUGGAAUUCCUAGUGUAGCGGUGAAAUGCGUAGAUAUUAGGAGGAACACCAGUGGCGAAGGCGGCUUGCUGGACGAAAACUGACGUUGAGGCUCGAAAGCGUGGGGAGCAAACAGGAUUAGAUACCCUGGUAGUCCACGCUGUAAACGAUGAAUACUAGGUGUUGGGGCCCGAAGGGCGUCGGUGCCGUCGCAAACGCAGUAAGUAUUCCACCUGGGGAGUACGUUCGCAAGAAUGAAACUCAAAGGAAUUGACG
Molecule: ribosomal RNA, 833 nt
Filed under: uncultured bacterium
Lineage: Bacteria
Description: bacterial SSU rRNA
Rfam family: Bacterial small subunit ribosomal RNA
Source: RNAcentral